CCCACCUUACUUGAGCAGGAUCUGUUCUAUAGGCUCGUACCACUGUAUCCUUGAUUUCUAAGGAGACAAGAAACUAUGUCUGGUGGAUGAAUCGUGGCCAUUUGACCAGAGCUUGAUUAACAGCAACCAUGCCCUUCUUUGGGUCAUGGUGACUUAGAUGAUCGUUCUCAGCUCCGAUCAUGGUGCCGGGAUGGUCUAAUGGCUGUCUGACAGACA
Solanum dulcamara is the source of this 216-nucleotide small nucleolar RNA. RefSeq annotates it as small nucleolar RNA U3. The transcript has a single exon. The record is from RefSeq and is a predicted model, not a curated record. NCBI's taxonomy places the organism in Eukaryota, Viridiplantae, Streptophyta, Magnoliopsida, Solanales, Solanaceae.